Molecule: ribosomal RNA, 456 nt
Filed under: uncultured bacterium
Lineage: Bacteria
Description: bacterial SSU rRNA
Rfam family: Bacterial small subunit ribosomal RNA
Source: RNAcentral
AACGAACGCUGGCGGCAGGCCUAACACAUGCAAGUCGAGCGAGGUAGCAAUACUUAGCGGCGGACGGGUGAGUAACGCGUGGGAACGUACCCUUUGCUACGGAAUAGCCCCGGGAAAUGGGAGUAAUACCGUAUGUGCCCUUCGGGGGAAGAUUUAUCGGCAAAGGAUCGGCCCGCGUUGGAUUAGGUAGUUGGUGGGGUAAUGGCCUACCAAGCCGACGAUCCAUAGCUGGUUUGAGAGGAUGAUCAGCCACACUGGGACUGAGACACGGCCCAGACUCCUACGGGAGGCAGCAGUGGGGAAUCUUAGACAAUGGGCGCAAGCCUGAUCUAGCCAUGCCGCGUGAGUGAUGAAGGCCUUAGGGUUGUAAAGCUCUUUCAGAUGGGAAGAUAAUGACGGUACCAUCAGAAGAAGCCCCGGCUAACUCCGUGCCAGCAGCCGCGGUAAAGUCGUACG